Molecule: long non-coding RNA, 213 nt
Filed under: Elaeis guineensis (African oil palm)
Lineage: Eukaryota; Viridiplantae; Streptophyta; Magnoliopsida; Arecales; Arecaceae
Description: long non-coding RNA (EGUI_LNC050867)
Source: RNAcentral
GGGUGCUAGUUAGACAUAUACUUUAUACUAACAGACUAUGAUAUUGAGUUUAUAUCAUUUUCAAUUGUCCACUCAUUAUUAUAGUAUCAUUCACAAUGAUAUCACAAUAAUCAUUCUUAUUGACAUCAUCAAUAAGAUGGGACAAUAGUGACAAUCACUUAAAAUGACAUCGUCAGGGUUGAAAACAAGCUUGACGAUUUCUAGUGUUAAGAC